RNAcentral lists this ribosomal RNA (485 nucleotides) under uncultured bacterium. RNAcentral's name for it is "partial 16S ribosomal RNA". It matches the Rfam family "Bacterial small subunit ribosomal RNA", at positions 28 to 507 of the family's 1533-position model. The record is from RNAcentral.
AUUGAACGCUGGCGGCAUGCCUUACACAUGCAAGUCGAACGGCAGCGGGCCCUUCGGGGUGCCGGCGAGUGGCGAACGGGUGAGUAAUGCAUCGGAACGUACCCGGGAGAGGGGGAUAACCGGCCGAAAGGCUGGCUAAUACCGCAUGAACUCGGAAGAGCAAAGCGGGGGACCUUCGGGCCUCGCGCUCUCGGAGCGGCCGAUGUCCGAUUAGGCUAGUUGGUGGGGUAAAGGCCCACCAAGGCGGCGAUCGGUAGCGGGUCUGAGAGGACGAUCCGCCACACUGGGACUGAGACACGGCCCAGACUCCUACGGGAGGCAGCAGUGGGGAAUCUUGGACAAUGGGCGCAAGCCUGAUCCAGCAAUGCCGCGUGGGUGAAGAAGGCCUUCGGGUUGUAAAGCCCUUUCGGCGGGGAAGAAAUCGGUCAGGCGAAUAGUCUGGCCGGAUGACGGUACCCGCAGAAGAAGCACCGGCUAACUACGUG